Molecule: ribosomal RNA, 200 nt
Filed under: uncultured bacterium
Lineage: Bacteria
Description: partial 16S ribosomal RNA
Rfam family: Bacterial small subunit ribosomal RNA
Source: RNAcentral
AUUGAACGCUGGCGGCGUGCUUAACACAUGCAAGUCGUGCGGUAACAGGCGUAGCAAUACGUGCUGACGAGCGGCGAACGGGUGCGUAAUACAUGGGAAUCUGCCUUUUAGUGGGGAUAACCCGGCGAAAGCCGGGCUAAUGCCGCAUAAGAUCUUCGGAUGAAAGCGGGGGAGUCGUAAGACCUCGCGCUGAUAGAUGA